This 315-nucleotide ribosomal RNA is filed under the name uncultured bacterium. RNAcentral's name for it is "bacterial SSU rRNA". It matches the Rfam family "Bacterial small subunit ribosomal RNA", at positions 29 to 334 of the family's 1533-position model. The record is from RNAcentral.
AAUGAACGCUAGCGAUAGGCUUAACACAUGCAAGUCGAGGGGUAACAUGGGAGUAGCUUGCUACUUCUGAUGACGACCGGCGGAUGGGUGAGUAACGCGUAUGCAACUUGCCUCUUAGUGGGGAGUAACCCGGAGAAAUCCGGACUAAUACCGCAUACACUUAGUUAUCCGCAUGGAUGAUUAAGGAAAGGUUUAUUGCUAAGAGAUAGGCAUGCGUUCCAUUAGUUAGUUGGUGAGGUAACGGCUCACCAAGGCAUCGAUGGAUAGGGGAGCUGAGAGGCUUAUCCCCCACAUCGGGACUGAGACACGGCCCAA